Non-coding RNA from Lactuca sativa (garden lettuce), 863 nucleotides. The record is from RefSeq and is a predicted model, not a curated record. Lineage: Eukaryota; Viridiplantae; Streptophyta; Magnoliopsida; Asterales; Asteraceae.
CUUGCUCCAGCCGUCAUCGCUGACCUUCCCUUGUUUCUCCGAUCACGAGCCACCUAGUGUGCUGAGCACCGCCAUAACCCGUUGCCAGUGAGGUCACGAACAACCGAAGUAGGAUCGUCGAAGUCCAAGUACGGAGUGCUGCUGUCACUGGUUCCGUUCCGACCACCGCCGCUGCUGGGAUCGUUCCAACAGCCGUUGAGCCGCCUCUGCGUGUUUCUUUCUUCUUCUUCUUCUUCUAUUAUUCAGUCAGCCAUGUCGUCGAUAUCGAUUGGAUGUGACGUCGUCAUGGUCGUGGUGGGGUACUGCCGUCAACUAUCACCACUCCGCCGUCGCUAGUGGCUUUCAUUUAGCGAUCUCCGCCACCAUCUCCGGCCUUUAGCGUCGUUGAUGUCGAUUCCGUCGAUGAAGUGUUUCACUGAUUCAUGGGUUCGGCCUACUGGAGUGUGUUGCUACGAGAUUGGGAGCCAAAAAAAAGAAGGAACCACUGCCACCACCGUGAAUCAAUUGUUCUCGCCGCUGUAUGCCACCAAGGGGAGGUGGCUGAGUUCGUUUUGCAAGCAGAAAUCUUCGGGAAUCUGUCAUCCAGCAGCUAGGGUUGAGUCUGCGGGACUUCAGCAGUAUGAGAAUUGUGUCUACGGGACUUCAGUAGUAUGAGGUGAGUUUCCUUCCAAUAGGAACGGGUCUAUGGCCACAAUGCCGACCCGUUUAGUUAGCAGUGGUUCCGGACUUCCGUCCGAUACAGUAGUUCAGUAUGCUUGGUGUUUUGUGAUACAGACAUGGUAUGAGUUAUGUGUACCGGACUAUGGUCCGAUGCAGUAUGCAAUAUAUGUGUUCAUGUUAUAUGCUAUGAUUAUGUUAUGCUA